GCUGGCUCUCCAUUUUUUUUAAUUGUGGGGGAGAGCAACUGCUUUGCAUGCAGAGGGUCCCAGGUUCAAUCCCUGACAUCUCCA
This 84-nucleotide transfer RNA is filed under the name Sphaerodactylus townsendi. RNAcentral describes it as "tRNA-Ala". The record is from RNAcentral. Lineage: Eukaryota; Metazoa; Chordata; Lepidosauria; Squamata; Sphaerodactylidae.